RNAcentral lists this ribosomal RNA (322 nucleotides) under uncultured eukaryote. RNAcentral's name for it is "partial 18S ribosomal RNA". It matches the Rfam family "Eukaryotic small subunit ribosomal RNA", at positions 1470 to 1796 of the family's 1831-position model. The record is from RNAcentral.
CCCUUAGAUGUUCUGGGCCGCACGCGUGCUACACUGAGUGGAUCAGCGGGUCAGGUUGCGCGAAAGUGUAUCCUAAUCUUUAAAUCCGCUCGUGAUGGGGAUUGACGGUUGCAAUUUUCCGUCAUGAACGAGGAAUACCUUGUAAGCGCGGGUCAUCAUCCCGCGCUGAAUACGUCCCUGCCCUUUGUACACACCGCCCGUCGCUCCUACCGAUUGAGUGGUCCGGUGAGGCUUUGGGAUCUGAGCGGAAAGAGCGUUUCGCUGUUUCUGCCCGGAAAACUCAGUCGAACCUUAUCAUUUAGAGGAAGGAGAAGUCGUAACA